AAAGGAAAUAAGAAAAAAACAAGAGAAAAAAAGGGGGUGCACGUGAAUAAAAUGGGAGAGGUGCUACACGUGAUGAAUUGAAUUUGAUUUCCUUGAAAAAAUGUCCAUAAGUAAUUAAUAUUAAUGCAUCACUUUAGAAUAUUUUUGAAAUUUUGUUUUAUUUGGUAAUAAUUCGAAUCAACAUUAUGACAAUCAUUACAAAUAAUUAAAAAUAAUAUAUUGAUUGUUUUAUUCAAUUUCUUCCUAAAGAG
Molecule: long non-coding RNA, 251 nt
Filed under: Vigna radiata
Lineage: Eukaryota; Viridiplantae; Streptophyta; Magnoliopsida; Fabales; Fabaceae
Description: long non-coding RNA (VRAD_LNC001001)
Source: RNAcentral